This is a long non-coding RNA of Pyrus x bretschneideri (Chinese white pear), 4117 nucleotides long. RefSeq lists it as uncharacterized. The record is from RefSeq and is a predicted model, not a curated record. NCBI's taxonomy places the organism in Eukaryota, Viridiplantae, Streptophyta, Magnoliopsida, Rosales, Rosaceae. The transcript has 4 exons.
CUGAAUCCUUCUUUUUAGCUCAGAAUCCUUCUUUCUCGUUUUUAGAUCUUAGGUUCUUACAAUAUCUUCUGUAAAGAGAUUGUCCAAACAGUUUGAGGAGCAAUAGAGAAGCCCUGCUCUCGUUUGAGUGCAGGGAAGAAUGCCCUGCCCUUGUUUCUGGUGGAAAUUAAACUGAGAGCUGUUGGGAAUUAAAAUAUAGUUUUGAUGGGUUUCAAAAGCCCAGUCUUUUCAACCAUCAUCCAUCACACACUCUGCUCAAACCUCUCCCGUUGCCCCUCUUGCCUCUCUCCUUGCUCGCCAUCUCUAUGCCUGUCCUGCCUGCUCUCCCCCUCCAUAACUCUCCUUCCCCCUCUCGGAAAAACAGAGAACCGCCACUAAACCAUCUUCAAUGACCAACCUUUCAAACUUCCCAAAACUACCUAGGGCCCUCUGCUACUCCUUGGCCGUGCCACGUUCGGAGGAAAACGGAAGUUUAUGUUUUGACUCUCGACGAAUCCAACCGUCCCCGACUCGAAAAUAGACGAGAAAGCAAUCACAGAGGUAUUUCUAAAAGUUUUGGGCAACCUUAUAAAAUGUUGCAGAUGCCUGUGGAAAUGCCUCACAUGGAAUAGGUGCGAAGUGUUAAAAACACGGAUGCAACAUCAUCUGGGGAGGUUACAGCCUACAAUGUUGUUCGUCUAGAGUUGGCCAAUGCAAUUGGAGUUUACCUAGAAGCCAGAGGUCCAAUAUCAGCACUUAGUUAUGUCGAGGAAUUCCCUAGACUUUCUGCUGAUUUGAGAUAUCCAAACUGACGGAGUUCCACAGGUAUCCACAAAAUUCCAAGAUAACAUAUUCUAGUCUUUGUAAGUUUGGAUAUCACAAAAUUGGUGGGAAUUGAAAGUGGUAAUCAAAUUGGUCUUCAAUUUUCAAAAAGUUGAAAAUGAAUUAGAUGUCAAAAGGCCACGAGUUUUUCGAAUUUGGCUUUCAAUUUUUAGUUUUUAACUUUCAAGGAAAUGAGAACUUGAAACUUAAAAUUGAAAGGCUUUUAUUGUUUCAUCACCUUUUUUGUUUGUUGGACGGAUAAUUUUGUCUAUUAAAAACCUAUAUACAAUGAAAUAAUACUAUUCAAUUAAAGAUCAAAGAAAAUACUAAUUAAACUAAUAACAAAAUUAAAAAAAUAAAUUAAUAGUUACAGAAUCAUACUGCAGAAGUGGGGUGCUUAAUUUACACACACAAUUUGAUAUGUAUGAUUUUAAUUGAGAUUAGCAUAGGAGUUAUAGGCUGAUGAAUGGUUUAACCCAAAAUCACUCACUAUAAUUGUUAAUUAAAAAUACAUACCACCUUCAAAGCUAGGUACAAGGAGCAACCAAAAAAAAAAAAAAAAAGAAAGUAUAUAUAUAUAUAUAUAUAUAUAUAUAUAUAUGAUGGUGUGCAUCACUUGCAUCCGAUCCAUCAUUGUAAACAUCAGCAUAAUGCAACUCUCGAGCACCGCGUCUAAUCCCAACUAUUGGACACUUAGAACUAUAGUUUUCUUUGCAUUCUUUGUCAUGGUUGAAAUCAGGGACAUAAUAAAAAAUGUAGCCGCUUGGAACUCCAUGUUUUAUGUAGCAUAUAUAUUUUGAAAAUGCAACCCUACGUCUUGGUUUACAAAGGCAGUUCCACUGUUAGCAAGUGCUUCCAUUGAUGCAUUACUUGCCUUACGACUUUAAAUUAUCAACUAAAUUAUCCGUUGCUCCAAAAUCACCGCACACCAAACCAACAAUAGGUGGGUUUUUGAGAAUGGUUUGAAUUUUAGCUUAUUACUAAAGAAAAAAAAUACAAAACGCACAUGUAAAGACACUGAAAAUAAAAAAAAUAGUGGAUUAAUCGAAAAUAAUAAAUAGAGAUAAAGAAAAUUAUAGAGAAAAUUACUUCUAGUGUCUUCAAGAUCGACGAUCCUUGCAUCCGAUCCCAAUGUGAAGCCAUACUCCAAGAGCAUGGGUAAAACUUUAGUACCCGGGAAAAUCUGUCAUUUAAAAAGUCACUUUCUGCAGUAAUCUAUUCAGCCAUGCUCUUGGAGCAUGGCUUUACAUUGGGAUCGGAUGCAAGGAUUGUCGAUCUUGAAGACACUAGAAGUAAUUUUCUCUAUAAUUUUCUUUAUCUUUAUUUAUUAUUUUCGAUUAAUCCACUAUUCUUUUUUAUUUUCAGUGUCUUUAGAUGUGCAUUUUGCAUUUUUUUUUCUUGAGUAAUAAGUGAUAACCUUAAGAUUCAAACAAUCCUCGAAAACCCAUCUAUUGUUGGUUAGGUGUGCGGUGACUUUGGAGCAACGGAGAAUUUAGUUGAUAAUUUAAAGUCUUAAGGCAAAAAGUAAUGCAUCAAUGGAAGCAAUUGCUAACAGUAGAACUGCCUUUGUAAACCAAGACGUAGGAUUGCAUUUUCAACAUAUGUAUGCUACAUAGAACAUGGAGUUCCAAGCGGCCACAUUUUUUAUUAUGUCCUUAAUUUCAAUCAUGACAAAGAAUGCAAAGAAGACUAUAGUUGUAAGUGUCCAAUAGUUGGGAUUAGAUGCGGUGAUCGGGAGUUGCAUUAUGCUGAUGUUUACAAUGAUGGAUCGGGUGCAAGUGAUGCACACCAUCAUUCGUAUUUACUGUUUUCUGAUGGAAUGAGGGUGAAAAAUGUUGAUACUGCCGAUGACUACGAGAUUACGACAAGAAAAUUGAAGAUGAAUUCAAACCAAGCAAGAAGGAUCACCCGAUUUUCUAUGUUAUUGUUGGGUGUUUGAUUUGGCUGUCCUCUGUAUGCACUCGCCUUGGAAUAUCACAUCUGUGCAGUGCCUAUUAAUUUGGAUCAACGCUUUGAUUUAAUUGGCUUGACUGGUGUUGUUUGCUUCAAGGGUGUGCGUGUGUUUUUUAAUCAACAGAUGUAGUGAAUGAUUUACAUAGACGUUGCUAUCGAGCAGGCAAGCUUCUGCAUUCUCGAGUCAUUGUUGGUCUUUUGAGUUUUGUGGAUAUUUUGUUUGAGUAAUGAUGUUCAUAUGGUCCUCCUCUUUCGUUUGUGUCGAUUGUUAGUUUUGAGUCCGUUUCCAAAACCAAAAAUGGUGGUUAAUUGUGCCAAAUUGAAUAUUAAAGUGCCGGCAUGAAAUUUUUAAUGAAGUUUGAGAACAUACCAUUUCUUCAUUUUAGUAUACAGUUUGUACUUAACGGCUCUACAUAUGGCUAAGAGUUGGAUGAAAUAUUAGAUCAUGCUGAAGCUAAUCUUGCUUCCAGCUAUGUUGUCCCUUGAGCAAAUCAUUUUCCCAAUAUAUGGAAUCUUGGUUGCAGUUAGUGGAUCUCUAUUUCACAUUUCAUUUUGGAUAUCGAUUGUUUCUCACUUUGGCUUGUAUGUGGAGGAUUUGGAUUUACUCUCAUCUCAAUCAUGGUCCUUUGUUAUCUUAUCUUAGCUUAUAAUAUAUGUAUGUUAAGGCGUAACUCCCCGUGAUGUUCUAAGUCUGCAGAUAUAUGUCUCUAUCCUAAGUAAUUUGGAGUUCAUUAAGGUUAUUGUGUUCUUUUUCACUAUAUAUUUGUCUCUUGGUCCCUGGAUUUCUCAUUUGGACAGAUCUUUGUGUUGUGACCUAGUUUCUCCAGACAAGGCUACUCUCAAAUUGCCAUCUAGUUGUCCAAUUUGCACUAAGCCUGGCCACUGGCCGAAUCAAUGCGCCUGGAAGAAACAGGUCCCCAUUGGCGUAACUCAGGUUGGCAAGGGCUAUGUAGUAGAUGGGCGGUGUGUUAUUCUGCUUAAGUGUGCUUAUUGUCAUUAGAGUGGUACUCACAGGGUUCCUGACCACCCGGAUUGGAACAAACUACUCAAGGAAACUGGAGGGGAUGUGCCCUUGCACCCCUGUUGGUUCGAUACAUCACCUGAUGAUUGAUGAAGCUGAGGACGACUGGGUGCAUGUAUGCAGCAGCUGUUGAAUUAUUGUUUCAUUUUAGUGCUCUAUGUUAUAUAUAUUUUAUUGUGGACCCACGUAUGUCUUGGAAUAAUUAAGCUAGAUAGCUCUGUUGUCGUCGCGGAUAUAUAUACUUUGUUGUUGGGUGUUUUCUGUGUUUGAUUUGGCUGUCCCUUGCCUUGGAAUAUCACAUCUGUGCAGUGCCUAUUAAUUUGGAUCAACGCUUUGAUUUGA